Molecule: ribosomal RNA, 529 nt
Filed under: Chiton magnificus
Lineage: Eukaryota; Metazoa; Mollusca; Polyplacophora; Chitonida; Chitonidae
Description: partial large subunit ribosomal RNA
Rfam family: Bacterial large subunit ribosomal RNA
Source: RNAcentral
UUUAUCAAAACAUCGCUCUUUGUUAUUAUAGUAUAGAGAGUCGUACCUGCCCAGUGAAGUUUAAACGGCCGCAGUACCCUGACUGUGCUAAGGUAGCAUAAUCAUUUGCCUUUUAAUUGGAGGCUAGUAUGAAUGGUUUGACGUGAAUUUAGCUGUCUCUUUUAUAUUAAAUAGAAAUUAAUUUUUAGGUGCAGAAGCCUAAAUGUUUUUAAAAGACGAAAAGACCCUGUCGAGCUUGAAAUAGAAAUAAAAUUUUGAUUACUUUAGAUAAGUUGUUUUUUAUUAUAAAUUUUGUUGGGGUGACAGAAGAACAUAAAUAGCUUCUUUUUAUUAAUAUAAUUAAUGUAUUGUUUGAGCCAUUAUGUAAUGAUCAUAAGAUUAGUUACCGCAGGGAUAACAGCGUAAUUUUUUUGGAAAGUCCUAAUUGAAGAAAAAGUUUGCGACCUCGAUGUUGGAUUAGAAUACCUGCUAGGUGGAGAUGCUUAGUAAGGAGGUCUGUUCGCCCUUUAAUUUUCUACAUGAUCUGAGU